CUUUCGAUGCCCCCAACUUCCAUUGCUAAUCAUACCUGGACUGUCAAAAGCUUUCAGACACAAGCAGGAACUGCUCUGGAAUGUAUAUGAAGAGCUUUGCAUCACUUAUACUGUGGAUGGUUUUUAUUAUUCUGUUCAGUUUUGGGGUUAAUGCCAAAGAAUCCCCUCUGGGGGUGUUGUGGAUUCAGCCUGUCAGUUUCUGCCUUUUUUGGCUCCCAGUUUCAAUCAAAUCUAAAUAGAAACCUGAAAUGUCCCAAAAUGCUUUGCAAUUGCUAGGUAUGUCUGGAACUAGGAGUCUUCUGUAAAUGGGAGGUGUUUUUCUAUCUCUCAAUGGAAGCGGCAAUUUGAAAGGCAUCUCCCUGAAAUCCAGGUGCCACUGACAUUACCUGAGCUUCCAGUGACAAAGCUGGAUCUAGAAGCACCUCUGGAGUGCAAGCCCACUCCUGUAUAGGGAGCGCAAGUCCAUCCAAGGGCAAGCAAUUGACCAAAUUCUUGGACACAGGAACCAUUCAGCCGCAGUGCCUUUUUCUUACCAGGAUUUAAGCUAAGCUUGUUUUCCUCAUCCAUCUUCACCACUGAAUUCUGGCACUUCUGUGUUAAAGGGGUGUUUGCUGCUGUCUCAUUGCUUAAUUUUGGAAUUGGAAGUCUUGUUCUGAAAAUCUAACCCUCCUGCUACCAACUCCUGUUCCCUGGAGCUGAUCUAGGAGAAUGCCAUGGCCAAUGUUAUCGACAGCUUAAGAGAGAUGUACAACCGCAGCAAAGAUUUUAUAUGCGCAGAAGUGGAAGGAAACGGCAAUACCCACAAAAGAAGAAUGGAUCAACAAACUAAUGGACUAUGCCAAAAUGGCAAAAUUACCUGCUAGACUAAGAGCCUCUACUGAUGAGUUUUUUUGUAGAAGAAUAGAAGCCCUUUUCGGAUUACAAGUAAAUACUUUUAUUUCUUGUCCAAUACGAGAUGGAUUUAUAUCUCGUGCAACAGAAGAACAAGAAUAUGUUAUUUUCAGGUUUAUAUUUUAUACUUUGUGUCAUGUUAGAAACAAGUGGAUAGUUCAGACAGUGGAGAUACAACGUCUUAUUGCUAUGGGAAGUCACAGAAACAUAAGAAUGGUAGCGCAUGAUGUUCUUAAUAUUUGUUAUGUGAAAACCAUAUAUAUAUAUGGGGUUUUCACAUAAUACAUAUUAUGUAUAUGUGAGAGACAGAAGUCAAGAAGCAGGAGCAAUGUUGUACUCCCCGUGUCCCACUCUCUGCAAACGUCAUCCAUCCAGGUAGCCAAAGCCAACUCAGCCCCAUGGCCAGUCCUGAAGCCAGGUUGGAAAGGAUCUAAAUAAUCUCUGCCAUCCAAUAAUGCUUGUAGCUGCCCUAUCACAACCCUCUCCACCACCUCCCCCAAUUGGGUAUUUGCAACAGGUUGAUUGUUCCAAUCCCAAAGGUCAAAAUCCAGUUUAUUUGGGAGAGGCCGCACUACAACUUCUUUCAAUGGAGCAGGGACCAUCCCUUCAUACAUUGGAUUGCUCUGCAUCUGUCCCAAGGGUCAAACUACAUAGUGUCACAAGUUUGUGUAAGUCCGUUCAGAUGAUGUUAUUGGAACCCUUCCAGGCCAGUGAUUCUGUAUCCAGCGAGGGUGAGAAUCUAGUAGAAGAGGUUGCUGAACCAGUCAGACUUUUUUUUGGUAAGAAAAUGACUUUAACUGGCCACAGAAGGAGUCUCUCUUUCUCUUUUUUAAUUUUUAUCGACAGCUUAAUUUUUUAAUUUUUAUUGGAAUUUUAUUUACAACAUAACACAACCCCCCACCCCAAUACACUAAUCCACCCUCAUUAAACAUGAACAUAGUGAGCAUAACAUACAACAAUACAAACAACCAAAUAAAAGACUUCCUUUAUCCUG
Molecule: long non-coding RNA, 1885 nt
Filed under: Podarcis lilfordi (Lilford's wall lizard)
Lineage: Eukaryota; Metazoa; Chordata; Lepidosauria; Squamata; Lacertidae
Source: RNAcentral